RNAcentral lists this ribosomal RNA (247 nucleotides) under uncultured bacterium. RNAcentral describes it as "partial 16S ribosomal RNA". It matches the Rfam family "Bacterial small subunit ribosomal RNA", at positions 523 to 769 of the family's 1533-position model. The record is from RNAcentral.
AUACGAGGGGAGCUAGCGUUGUUCGGAAUUACUGGGCGUAAAGCGCGCGUAGGCGGCUUUUUAAGUCAGAGGUGAAAGCCCGGGGCUCAACCCCGGAAUAGCCUUUGAAACUGGAAAGCUAGAAUCUUGGAGAGGUCAGUGGAAUUCCGAGUGUAGAGGUGAAAUUCGUAGAUAUUCGGAAGAACACCAGUGGCGAAGGCGACUGACUGGACAAGUAUUGACGCUGAGGUGCGAAAGCGUGGGGAGC